UGGGUUGUGGCUCAGUAGCAGAGUGCUUGCCUCGCACAUGUGAGACACUGAGUUCGAUUCUCAGCACCACAU
This is a non-coding RNA of Ictidomys tridecemlineatus (thirteen-lined ground squirrel), 72 nucleotides long. Lineage: Eukaryota; Metazoa; Chordata; Mammalia; Rodentia; Sciuridae. The record is from Rfam.